CCCUUAGAUGUUCUGGGCUGCACGCGCGCUACACUGAAGCGUUCAACGAGUAUUCACCUUGCCCGGGAGGGUUGGGUAAUCUUUUGAAAACGCUUCGUGAUGGGGAUAGAUUAUUGCAAUUAUUAAUCUUCAACGAGGAAUUCCUAGUAAGCGCGAGUCAUCAGCUCGUGCUGAUUACGUCCCUGCCCUUUGUACACACCGCCCGUCGCACCUACCGAUUGAAUGGUCCGGUGAAAUCUUCGGAUCUGAGAGAUGUCUGAUUAAUUUCGGACGCCUUUUGGAAAAGUUGCUUAAACCUUACCAUUUAGAGGAAGGUGAAGUCGUAACA
Molecule: ribosomal RNA, 328 nt
Filed under: uncultured eukaryote
Lineage: Eukaryota
Description: partial 18S ribosomal RNA
Rfam family: Eukaryotic small subunit ribosomal RNA
Source: RNAcentral